CCUACGGGCGGCAGCAGUGGGGGAUAUUGCACAAUGGGGGGAACCCUGAUGCAGCGACGCCGCGUGGGUGAAGAAGCGCCUCGGCGCGUAAAGCCCUGUCAGCAGGGAAGAAAAUGACGGUACCGGAAGAAGAAGCCCCGGCUAACUACGUGCCAGCAUCCGCGGUAAUACGUAGGGGGCAAGCGUUAUCCGGAUUUACUGGGUGUAAAGGGGGCGCAGACGGCGAUGCAAGCCAGGAGUGAAAGCCCGGGGCCCAACCCCGGGACUGCUCUUGGAACUGCGUGGCUGGAGGGCAGGAGGGGCAGGCGGAAUUCCUGGUGUAGCGGUGAAAUGCGUAGAUAUCAGGAGGAACACCGGUGGCGAAGGCGGCCUGCUGGACUGCAACUGACGUUGAGGCCCGAAAGCGUGGGGAGCAAACAGGAUUAGAUACCCCUGUAGUC
RNAcentral lists this ribosomal RNA (440 nucleotides) under uncultured bacterium. RNAcentral describes it as "partial 16S ribosomal RNA". It matches the Rfam family "Bacterial small subunit ribosomal RNA", at positions 338 to 795 of the family's 1533-position model. The record is from RNAcentral.